CCAAUAGCGUAUAUUAAAGUUGUUGCAGUUAAAAAGCUCGUAGUUGAAUUUCGGGAUCAGUUUGUUGGUCGUGCUUCGGUACGUACUGUCAUUACUGGUUUCUACCUUCUGAAGAACCUUGAUGUCAUUAAUUUGGUGUCUUGGGGAAUCAGGACUGUUACUUUGAAAAAAUUAGAGUGUUUAAAGCAAGCAUACGCUUGAAUACAUUAGCAUGGAAUAAUGAAAUAGGACGUUUGAUUCUAUUUUGUUGGUUUCUAGGAUCGACGUAAUGAUUAAUAGGGAUAGUUGGGGGCAUUAGUAUUCAAUUGUCAGAGGUGAAAUUCUUGGAUUUAUUGAAGACUAACUACUGCGAAAGCAUUUGCCAAGGAUGUUUUCAUUAAUCAAGAACGAAAGUUAGGGGAUCGAAGACGAUCAGAUACCGUCGUAGUCUUAACCAUAAACUAUGCCGACUAGGGAUCGGAUGAUGUUAUUUUUAAUGACUCAUUCGGCGCCUUACG
This 497-nucleotide ribosomal RNA is filed under the name uncultured Glomeromycotina. RNAcentral's name for it is "partial small subunit ribosomal RNA". It matches the Rfam family "Eukaryotic small subunit ribosomal RNA", at positions 591 to 1092 of the family's 1831-position model. Lineage: Eukaryota; Fungi; Glomeromycota. The record is from RNAcentral.